UGGGGAAUAUUGCACAAUGGGCGCAAGCCUGAUGCAGCGACGCCGCGUGGGGGAUGACGGCCUUCGGGUUGUAAACUCCUUUCGCUAGGGACGAAGCUUUUUGUGACGGUACCUAGAUAAGAAGCACCGGCUAACUACGUGCCAGCAGCCGCGGUAAUACGUAGGGUGCGAGCGUUGUCCGGAAUUACUGGGCGUAAAGGGCUCGUAGGUGGUUUGUCGCGUCGUCUGUGAAAUUCCGGGGCUUAACUCCGGGCGUGCAGGCGAUACGGGUAUAACUUGAGUACUGUAGGGGUAACUGGAAUUCCUGGUGUAGCGGUGAAAUGCGCAGAUAUCAGGAGGAACACCGAUGGCGAAGGCAGGUUACUGGGCAGUUACUGACGCGGAGGAGCGAAAGCAUGGGUAGCGAACAGG
This 411-nucleotide ribosomal RNA is filed under the name Bacillota bacterium. Its description in RNAcentral is "Firmicutes bacterium partial 16S ribosomal RNA". It matches the Rfam family "Bacterial small subunit ribosomal RNA", at positions 355 to 776 of the family's 1533-position model. The record is from RNAcentral. Lineage: Bacteria; Bacillati; Bacillota.